Molecule: ribosomal RNA, 530 nt
Filed under: uncultured bacterium
Lineage: Bacteria
Description: bacterial SSU rRNA
Rfam family: Bacterial small subunit ribosomal RNA
Source: RNAcentral
AAAUAGAUACCCGGGUAGUCCACGCCGUAAACGAUGAGUGCUAAGUGUUAGAGGGUUUCCGCCCUUUAGUGCUGCAGCUAACGCAUUAAGCACUCCGCCUGGGGAGUACGGCCGCAAGGCUGAAACUCAAAGGAAUUGACGGGGGCCCGCACAAGCGGUGGAGCAUGUGGUUUAAUUCGAAGCAACGCGAAGAACCUUACCAGGUCUUGACAUCCUCUGACAACCCUAGAGAUAGGGCUUUCCCCUUCGGGGGACAGAGUGACAGGUGGUGCAUGGUUGUCGUCAGCUCGUGUCGUGAGAUGUUGGGUUAAGUCCCGCAACGAGCGCAACCCUUGAUCUUAGUUGCCAGCAUUCAGUUGGGCACUCUAAGGUGGCUGCCGGUGACAAACCGGAGGAAGGUGGGGAUGACGUCAAAUCAUCAUGCCCCUUAUGACCUGGGCUACACACGUGCUACAAUGGAUGGUACAAAGGGCUGCAAACCUGCGAAGGUAAGCGAAUCCCAUAAAGCCAUUCUCAGUUCGGAUUGCAGG